Molecule: ribosomal RNA, 1210 nt
Organism: Intoshia linei
Lineage: Eukaryota; Metazoa; Orthonectida; Rhopaluridae
Rfam family: Eukaryotic small subunit ribosomal RNA
Source: Rfam
UACCUGGUUGAUCCUGCCAGUAGUCAUAUGCUUGUCUCAAAGAUUAAGCCAUGCAUGUCUAAGUUCAAACUUAAUUGACAGUGAAACCGCGAAUAGCUCAUUAAAUCAGCUAUAAUUUAUUGGAUUUUGCAAUACUAGUUGGAUAACUGUGGCAAAUCUAGAGCUAACACAUGCAAUCGAGCUUCCACGAUAUACUGUGGGAGGGCAGUUGUUAGAUCAAUAUCCAGCGGUGGCGGCUUGCCGUCAUCUCGCAUUGAUGACUCUGGACAACUUUGCCGAUCGUAUGGCCUUGUGCCGACGACAGAUCCUUCAAGUGUCUGCCCUAUCAACUGUCGAUGGUAGGGUAUUGGCCUACCAUGGUUGUAACGGGUAACGGAGAAUCAGGGUUCGAUUCCGGAGAGGGAGCCUGAGAAAUUGCUCCUACUUCCAAGGAGGGCAGCAGGCGCGCAAACUACCCACUCCUAGAUCGGGGAGGUGGUGACGAUAAAUGUCGAAUAAGUCGGCUUAUAGCUUGCUAUUUCGAGAUGGAGAAUGUAUUAAAAAAUGUAACGAAAGCAAUUGGAGGGCAAGUCUGGUGCCAGCAGCCGCGGUAAUUCCAGUUCCAAUAGCGUAUAUUAAAGUUGUUGCAGUUAAAACGCUCGUAGUUGAAUUUCGGGUCGCUACAGGACGGUGCAUAUUAUGCGACUGUCCGUAUGGGCCCUGAUGAUGGCUGACCUGCAACAUUCUUCGUUGAAUGUGGCUGGCGGCUACAAAUUUUACUUUGAAAAAAUGAGAGUGCUCAAAGCAGGCCGUAGUGCCAGAAUAUUGAUGCAUGGAAUAAUGGAAUAGGACCUCGGUUCUGUCUGUUGGUGAUGAAUAACGAGGUAAUGAUUAAGAGGGACAGCCGGGGGCAUUCGUAUUGCAGCGCUAGAGGUGGAAUUCUUGGACCGCUGUACGACGAACAACUGCGAAAGCAUUUGCCAAGAAUGUUUUCAUUAAUCAAGAACGAAAGUCAGAGGCGCGAAGACGCUUAGAUACCGUCGUAGUUCUGACCGUAAACGAUGUCGACUAGCGAUCCGUCCAAUUCCAAUUAUUUGAGGUCUGGAUGGGCAGCUUACGGGAAACCAAAGUUUUUGGAUUCCGGGGGAAGUAUGGUUGCAAAGCUGAAACUUAAAGGAAUUGACGGAAGGGCACCACCAGGAGUGGAGCCUGCGGCUUAAUUUGACUCAAC